GAAAAAAUUCUUUAUUCAACAAUAAUCAGGUCCUACAUUCACGAGCUUAAUAAAAACCACAAAAUAGAGAUACAUAACACAGUCAGGUAAGUGUUUUAAAGAAAAUGAACAGGCCCAAGAGGGUUCUUUCUGGUAUGAGGAGGGGACAAGUACUCGAAGGACAAGUAAUGAAGGGUGAAUGUCAGCAGAAGAAGAAGCAUGUGACACGAUCCUGAGGUGGCAGCAAGGUGUGGCGUAGCUGGAGCGUGGAAACUCUGGGGAGAGUGGCGGGGCGUGAGUUGAGGGCCGCGUCAGAGCCGGUCAAGGUCAGGUUGGGAACAGGGGCAGAGCAGGAGGCCUUGUAGCCCUGCUAAGGACUUUAGGUUAGGGUUAGCUGGAAGCUGUCACAGUAGACCAAACAAGAGACGGCAGUGGCUUACAGGGAAGAAGGCAUCUGAGACGUUAAGAACGACGGUCAGGAUACAGCUCAGUUAGGAUUGCUAAUGGUUUGGAGGCAGGAGAAAGAUGGGUGUCACUGUUUUGAACACAUUAAGGCCUGACAUUCAAGCAGUAAAGCUAGACAGGUAAUUGGUUAGAGAUCUCUGGUGUUCAGGGGAGAAGUUAAGGCUAGAGAUAAUGUCAAAAGUUACCAGAGUAUAAUUAAGGCCAUGGAAUGGAUGACAUCACCCAGAGAAUAAGGAAAGUUCUAGAAGAAUCUGAGAGGGCUCUGCCAUUACUCCCAUCAACCUAAAGGCUAUUCAGAGGAGGAGCCAGCAGGGGGCAGUAUGUCAGGCAUGAUCCGAGAGUGAAGUUGUCAGCUAAGACUGAAAAGGAAAGAAGGGAUUUUGAGAUGCCAACGCUCACCACGACUUCUGGUUCAUUUGGAAAUGAACUGACUGAGGGAAAUAUGUGAUUGCCACGCAGCCACCAAGAGCCUUGGGGAAGUUCAAAGUAGUAAAUUUAAAGGUCAGUCCACAGGGUUGCUAGUGUCCUCAUCAUUUAUCUGGCUUUGCUUGUUUUUGAGACAGUCUUGCUAUGUAGUCCAGGCUGGCCUCAAACUUCCGGUGAUCCUCCUGCCUCUGCUUCCCGAGUCAUGUAUCUGUUUUUCAAGUGCAGGUGAGGGCAGGAUUUGACCAGGCGAGAACGAUGGAGAGGGGUGGGAGCUGGGGAGUUCUGCACGUGCGUGUGGCACUGCAGACCGAGCGCGGGAAGGAAGUGAGAGGAAGACACGGUAGUGUAUGAUGAAGUCUCAGAAUCAAUGGGUCACAGGCCCUUUGAAGCUGAAUCUCUGGGAAAAUGGGACAGAACGUAGUGAGCUAGAAAGAUAGGACAUAAUUAGAGAUUAGUGUUAGAAAUAGAUCCUAGCAACGGCCCAACAAUUGACAAGACGUGGGGUGGUGGCUGCCUAAAAUGGCUGAAAAACAAGAUCCUUCCAAGCAGGACAUGGAAGAACUGACGCCAAGCAGACUGUUCUCGGGAAAUCAACCUCUGCGCACGAUGCCCAGGUGCUGGUGGAAAGCAGGAACUAGAGCAGCUUUGCCAGCUAAGUUGAGGAGAGAACAGAGUUUCAGGAGAUGACAGGAGGCUCGCGGCAUGCAAACCCCCUUGGGGACGCCCAGCUCUGGCUGGGUGGGCUUCUGGGCAGGGGAC
Chinchilla lanigera (long-tailed chinchilla) is the source of this 1629-nucleotide long non-coding RNA. RefSeq lists it as uncharacterized. Lineage: Eukaryota; Metazoa; Chordata; Mammalia; Rodentia; Chinchillidae. The transcript is spliced from 3 exons. The record is from RefSeq and is a predicted model, not a curated record.